RNA transcript from Nicotiana tabacum (common tobacco), 4724 nucleotides. It is a transcript of the gene named pentatricopeptide repeat-containing protein At1g04840-like, with no coding region annotated. The record is from RefSeq and is a predicted model, not a curated record. Lineage: Eukaryota; Viridiplantae; Streptophyta; Magnoliopsida; Solanales; Solanaceae.
UGUAAUUAUUAAUGCCGGGAAUAUUUUUAAAAAAGAAGAAGAAGAAGAAGAAGAAGAAUCUUUCAUCACUCUCCAUCCACCACUGUACACUAGUAUUCUUUUUCCGCCACAUUUGCAGUAGCAUUACUUCCAUUUUUCCUUCUCAUUUCUGAAUCUGUUGCUUUUUACUGUUACAAACCAAUCUUCAAAAAUGAAAGUAAUUCCCAAACUCAAACUUCCAAAAAAAUCUCCCAAAAUCCUCAAUCCCCCCCCACCUAAUAGAUCAUCAUACUCUAAGAAUAAUAAUAAUGAGAAUUUGAAUGAAACCCAUUUCAUAUCUCUAAUUCACACUUGUAAAAACACCCUUCAACUCCAAAAAAUCCAUGCCCAAAUCAUUCGCCAAAACUUAUCAUCAAAUAGCAGAAUCAUUACUCAGCUGAUAUCUUCAGCUUCUUUACGUAAAUCCAUUGACUAUGCAUUGUCUAUUUUUAAUUAUUUUCGUGGCCCGAAUUUGUAUUUGUUUAAUGCUUUGAUUAGAGGAUUGAAGGAGAACUCUUGUUUUGAAAAAUCAAUUGGAUAUUUUAAGCUAAUGCUUAAGAUGGGCGUUAAGCCUGACAGGCUAACGUACCCGUUCGUGUUGAAAUCAUUAACGGCAUUAGGUGAAAAAGGAGUUGGUGGGAGUGUGCAUUGUGGUGUUUUAAAGAUGGGAUUGGAGUAUGAUGUGUUUGUGAGGGUUUGUUUGGUUGAAAUGUAUGUGAAAAUUGAGUUGGUGGAGUUUGCACUCCAACUGUUUGAUGAAAGUCCUGAGAGAAAUAAGGCUGAGAGUGUGCUUUUGUGGAACGUCGCGAUUAAUGGGUGUUGUAAGACUGGACAGGUGAGUAAGGCGUUGGCGUUGUUUGAGGAAAUGCCUGAGAGGAAUGCAGGUUCUUGGAAUACUUUGCUUAGUGGGCUGUUGAGGAAUGGGGAAGUGGAUAAAGCGAUGGAACUUUUUGAUGGGAUGGUGGAAAAGAAUGUGGUUUCUUGGACUAGUAUGAUUCAUGGAUUAACACUAAAUGGGUUGCACCAAAAGGCUCUAGAUUUGUUUUUCAAGAUGGUGGAAGAAGGUACGAAGCCGAAUGGUUUAACUGUUGUAUCUGCACUUUCUGCUUGUGCAAAAACCGGGGCACUAGAGGCAGGGAGAAAGAUUCAUGAAAAUAUUUCGAACAAUGGGCUCCAUUUGAACGUAGCGGUUGGUAAUGCUUUGCUUGAUAUGUAUGCGAAAUGCGGGUAUAUUGAGUCUGCAAGCCUGGUUUUUAGUGGAUUGAAGGAAAAGGAUAUUCGUACGUGGAGUAUUAUGAUAUGGGGUUGGGCAAUUCAUGGACAUGUAGAUAAAGCUCUUAAGUGUUUUGAACAGAUGAAAUUGGCUGGAAUCAAACCUGAUGGAGUUUCUUUCCUUGCUGUUUUGACUGGAUGCUCUCACGCUGGACGGGUGGAUCAGGGCCUUCAAAUCUUUCAUAGCAUGCAGCACGAGUGGUCGAUUGAGCCUACUAUGAGACAUUAUGCUGUAGUAGUAGAUCUACUUGGCAGGGCUGGCCGAUUGGAUGAUGCCUUUAAAUUUAUCGAAAUUAUGCCCUUGGAGCCAGAUUGUGUCAUUUGGGGUGCACUUUUUUCUGCUUGCAGAGCUCACAAGAACAUUGAAAUGGCAAAAAUUGCAUCAGAGAAGCUCCUGCAGCUUGAGCCAAAUCAUGCUGGGGGCCAUGUGUUUCUGUCUAAUGUUUAUGCAGGAGCAGGGAGAUGGGAUGAUGUAGAAAGAGUUAGAAGUUCAAUGAAGAACAAAAAUGUUGAUAAGGAUCCUGGAUGGAGUUCGAUGGAGGUGGAUGGUCAAUUGCAUACAUUUGUUGCUGGUGAUAAUGCUCAUACACGUAAGCAGGAGAUAUACUCGAAAUUGGAGGAAAUUAUUACGGGAGCUAAACAACACGGUUACAUGCCUGAAACCGAGUGGGUGCUUCAUAACAUUGAUGAGGAAGAGAAGGAAGGAGCUUUGGGAAGUCAUAGUGAAAAGUUAGCACUUGCGUUUGGGCUCAUUAGUACUGGUCCUGGUGCGAUCAUUAUGAUUGUGAAGAAUCUUAGAGUGUGUGGCGACUGCCAUUCGCUAAUGAAGUAUGUCAGCAAGAUGAGUCAAAGGGUGAUUGUGUUAAGAGAUAUAAAGAGAUUCCACCAUUUCAAAGAUGGAGUUUGCUCCUGUAAAGAUUACUGGUGAACUACCAGUGACCCAUUUACCAAUGGUUGAUACAAAGGUUGUCCUGUGGAACUACAAACGAGUAAUAGUGACAUAUAAUGGGAAAGAAGUGGAGGAAGAAGUCAAUGAGACCGGAGGAAUGACUCGUUUUGGGAGGUAUUUUACCCCAGAAGAAUUGAGGAAGGCCAAGUCGUUCAAGGACAGCCAAAUGCCAGUAAAGAAGCCGGUCACCGAGGAAGAGGCUGAAGAUUCUUGAAAAAGAUGAAAGUGCAAGACUACUCCAUUGCGGAGCAAUUAAGAAAAACACCGGCUCAGAUCUCUCUAUUGUCUUUACUGAUACAUUUAGAUGAACACCGCAAUACCAUGUUGAAGAUUUUGAAUGAGGCACAUGUUCCUGAUAAGAACAAAGUGAAUCACUUGGAAAAGAUUGCUAGCAAGAUCUUCGAAGCAAAUACGAUCACUUUCUCAGAUGAUGAACUUCCUAUGGAGGGUACAGAACACAACCGAGCUCUUUGUCUCACGGUGAAGUGCGAGGAUUCUGUUGUCACGAGGGUACUGGUUGAUAACGGCUCUAGUGAAACUAUUUCCCCUUUGUCUACUUUGCAAAAGUUGAAGAUCGGCACUGAAAGAAUCCACAUGAAUAGUGUAUGUGCUCGAGGUUUUGAUGGGGGAGGAAAAGAUUCUACCGUGAUAUAAUGCUCGAAUUAUUGAUAGAGCCAGUUGAGUUCACUAUGGAAUUUCAAGUACUAUAUCUGGCCCGUCUCCUACAAUUUGUUGUUGGGCAGGCCCUGGAUACAUGCGGCUAAGGCGGUUCCGUCUUCUCUGCAUCAAAUGGUAAAAUUUGAAUGGGACAGGAAGGAAAUAGUUGUGUAUGGUGAUGAGGACAUAUCUGCUUAUAAUGACCCGAUUGUUCCAUAUAUUGAAGCUGAAGAUGAAAAAGGACCUUGGGUCUACCAAACUUUCGAAACAGUGUCUGUUGAGAAGAUUCCUGAAAGAGAAUGCAUUCCGGGGCCGAGGCUAUCCUCCGCGUCCGUCAUGGUAGCAAAUGAGAUGUUGAAGAAUGGUUUUGUGCGGGGUAAAGGUCUGGGUUCAGCUCUAUAGGGUAUUGUGCAUCCAGUGUGCCCACGUGAAAACUUUGGUACAUUUGGUUUGGGAUCCACGCCCACAGAGAAGGAUGUAAAAAGGGCUAAAAAGCAGAAAGAGAAAAUAUGGUCGCUCCCCAAGCCUGUUCCACACAUCUCCAAGUCUUUUAUCAAGCCAGGGGGUCCCCAAAAUGUCCAAUAUCAUCGGUCCCGAAACCUGUAGUUGAUGUUGAUGAAGAGUUGAAUAGCAAAUUGAUAAUGUUUUUCUCAUCUAAAAUCUGUUUUCGCUACUCAAUAGCUUAAGCAUUAAAGUAAUAUGAGAACAUCAACAACUAUACCUUAAAGCCAAACUAUUGGGAUUGACUACAUGAAUCCGGUAUAUAUAUUUCAUGCAAUAGUUUCUUUAAACAGGCAGAAAACACAAAUAGACCAACCAAACCAAUUGGAUUAUUGCCAAUUUAUUUAAGUUUACUGUUUUUUGACCUCUGAAACUUUUAUUGAUAAAUAUGUAAGUAUGUGUUAUUCACAAAAGCACCGAGGCUGCUAGGCUACAAAUAGGAACUUUCCUUUCCUGGCAAUAUUUUAUGUUGCCAAUAAAUUUAUGCAUGAAUGCAAUAGUAACCUUAAAUGCCCAGUCGCUUUUUGGUCUCUGAUUUUCGCGAUUGGAGGAAAUGCGUCGGUGAUACUCUCCUUUAUCAGAGGUUGUUUUAGACUUCUGUAGAAGAAGAGAGAAGGUAUGGAAGUGGUCCCGAGUGUCUCUUUUGGAGUUUAAAGCUGGAAUGUGAUGAUUGGACAUUCCAAGGGGAAGAAAUGUCAUUGACAAGUUCAUUUACUGAUUUAUCUGAACAUGCCUUGUGUGCACAAAUAUAGUAAAUUGCGCAUACCUAGAGCUUAGCCAUGUGCUGUCCUUUCGUUUUCUCUAGUGGGAUAGCCACUUCUUUGUGCUGUUGGAGCUCUUACACAAUCUGGAUUUAUUUAUGACGAGGUUGGUGCAUUAAUCGAAACAGCCAAGUUGACUUAUUUUUUCUUUUUAAAAAAUAGUGCACCAGUUUCCUUCUGUUCUGAAGUUAAUGAUCCUUGUCUUCUUUAUUGGCUUCAUUUCUGUCUUAGACUAUUAGUCAAAUUGCUUUCCUGCUAAUGCAGGAAAGAAUACAAGUUGGCGAAGAGCUACUUGGAGAGAUGCUGAUUAAGGAAUAAAAUGAAUUAAGUGGGAAAGAUAAGGUCAGGAAACCUGAAGGAUUGGAUGAUGUGGUUUCUGCAGUCUCCUUCCCACUACUCUUUGUUCCUCGCAGGUGGUAGUCCACAGUUCAGAAUGGUGCGUCAGCGCAUGCAUCUCAAAGUAGAUACUCUUUUCAUGGGCACACUGAAUUUCUAGUGGGUUCUCGAUUGCUGACACUGAUGGCAUCCAGGGAAAAUUUGCAGCAGACAGUAGCUAAAAUUUGUGA